AUUGAACGCUGGCGGCAGGCCUAACACAUGCAAGUCGAGCGAGCGGCGGACGGGUGAGUAAUGUAUGGGGACUGCCCGAUAGAGGGGGAUACUACUGGAAAAGGUAGAUAAUACCGCAUACUAUCGGAUAACCCAUAUGGGAUUAGCUAGUAGGUGAGGAAAUGGCUCACCUAGGCGACGAUCCCUAGCUGGUCUGAGAGGAUGAUCAGCCACACUGGGACUGAGACACUGCCCAGACUCCUACGGAGGCAGCAGUGGAGAAUAUUGCACUAUGGGCGCACGCCUGAUGCAGCCAUGCGGCGUGUAUGAAGAAGGCCCUAGUGUUUUAUAGUACUUUCAGUCGGGAGGGGUUACCGACAGAAGAAGCACCGGCGAACUCCGUGCCAGCAGCCGGGUAAUUC
RNAcentral lists this ribosomal RNA (401 nucleotides) under uncultured bacterium. RNAcentral's name for it is "partial 16S ribosomal RNA". It matches the Rfam family "Bacterial small subunit ribosomal RNA", at positions 30 to 526 of the family's 1533-position model. The record is from RNAcentral.